Molecule: non-coding RNA, 73 nt
Organism: Podarcis lilfordi (Lilford's wall lizard)
Lineage: Eukaryota; Metazoa; Chordata; Lepidosauria; Squamata; Lacertidae
Source: the annotation of a GenBank genome assembly
GCUGGGAUAGCUCAUUCAGAAGAGUACGAGACUCUGAACCUCAGGGUUGCGGGUUCGAGCCCCACAUUGGGCA